CAAAAGGCCAUAUGCACAGGAGGAGGAAGAACGGAAGAGAGAGAGAGCAUGGAGGGGGAAGAGUACAUACAUACCUAAGGACGACGGUUGCGGAGGGCCAGUUAUUGACUUUGAUGGAAAGGUUGUGGGGAUGUUCAACGGUUGUAGAAGAGGGCCUUUUGUUCCUUCUUCUGUUUUGAAUGGGUGCAUGGAUUUGUGGAGGAAUUUUGGGUGCAUCCUUCGGCCCCACCUUGGGUUGCAAUUUGAGGCCAUCAAGUUUCUAGAUCCCACUCGUGGUGAGUACAUAUGGCGGAAGUUAAACAUUGAUGACGGUCUUGUUGUUGAAGAGAUGUCAGCAGGAUCCCAUGCUGAGAAAAUUGAAAUCCGAGUAGGUGAUAUUAUUGAUUGCAUUAAUGGAGAACGCAUCUCUACGACACUUGAG
Long non-coding RNA from Triticum aestivum (bread wheat), 421 nucleotides. RefSeq lists it as uncharacterized. The record is from RefSeq and is a predicted model, not a curated record. The transcript has 4 exons. NCBI's taxonomy places the organism in Eukaryota, Viridiplantae, Streptophyta, Magnoliopsida, Poales, Poaceae.